CAGCACCAAUCUAAGUCGAAGAAGUGUUCUACUUAGGGACAACUUCACUUGUCAGUAUUGCCGUGCUCGCGAUAACUUGACCAUCGACCAUGUUCUUCCAGUUGCAAGAGGGGAAUGAACAUGGGAGAAUCUGGUAAGAUGGCCUAUUAAACAAACAGAUGGUUGACUCUCUAUUUGUGGAUCAACUCCAUUGACUGUUGUUUGAGCCAUAGGUGACUGCUUGUGCCAAGUGCAAUUCGAAGAAAGGUCGAAAAACGCCGGAGGAAGCAAACAUGACGUUGAUUAAGGUCCCCAAGGCUCCCAAGGAUUACGACAUACUUGCGAUACCUCUAACAAGUGCGGCGAUACAGAUGUUUAGGACGAGAAACGGGACACCGGAAGAAUGGCCACAGUAUCUCUCCUCUUCCAUGGAGCCUUAACCUGUCGUACAUUCUUAAAUCUUCAUACGUAUCAGAUAAGUCCCCCAUUUCUACCCUGCAUUC
This is a long non-coding RNA of Hibiscus syriacus, 482 nucleotides long. RefSeq lists it as uncharacterized. NCBI's taxonomy places the organism in Eukaryota, Viridiplantae, Streptophyta, Magnoliopsida, Malvales, Malvaceae. The transcript is spliced from 3 exons. The record is from RefSeq and is a predicted model, not a curated record.